ACGUAGGGGGCGAGCGUUGUCCGGAAUUACUGGGCGUAAAGGGCGUGUAGGCGGCCGAUUAAGUCCGGAGUGAAAGUCCUGCUUUCAAUGUGGGAAUAGCUUUGGAAACUGGUUGGCUUGAGUGCGGAAGAGGUAAGUGGAAUUCCCAGUGUAGCGGUGAAAUGCGUAGAGAUUGGGAGGAACACCAGUGGCGAAGGCGACUUACUGGGCCGUAACUGACGCUGAGGCGCGAAAGCGUGGGGAGCGAACAG
RNAcentral lists this ribosomal RNA (251 nucleotides) under uncultured prokaryote. RNAcentral describes it as "partial 16S rRNA". It matches the Rfam family "Bacterial small subunit ribosomal RNA", at positions 525 to 775 of the family's 1533-position model. The record is from RNAcentral.